Molecule: ribosomal RNA, 448 nt
Filed under: uncultured bacterium
Lineage: Bacteria
Description: bacterial SSU rRNA
Rfam family: Bacterial small subunit ribosomal RNA
Source: RNAcentral
GGCAGCAGUUUCGAAUCAUUCACAAUGGGCGAAAGCCUGAUGGUGCGACGCCGCGUGAGGGAUGAAGGUCUUCGGAUUGUAAACCUCUGUCACUGGGGAAGAAACGCUGAAUCCUAAUACGAUUCAGCCUGACUUAACCCGGAGAGGAAGCAGUGGCUAACUCUGUGCCAGCAGCCGCGGUAAUACAGAGACUGCAAGCGUUAUUCGGAUUCACUGGGCGUAAAGGGUGCGCAGGUGGCCAAGUGUGUCAGGUGUGAAAUCCCGGAGCUUAACUCCGGAACUGCGCCUGAAACUGCUUGGCUAGAGCAUUGGAGAGGGUAGUGGAAUUCACGGUGUAGCAGUGAAAUGCGUAGAUAUCGUGAGGAACACCAGAGGCGAAGGCGACUACCUGGACAAUUGCUGACACUCAGGCACGAAAGCGUGGGUAGCCAAAGGGAUUAGAUACCCC